Molecule: ribosomal RNA, 1334 nt
Filed under: metagenome
Description: bacterial LSU rRNA
Rfam family: Bacterial large subunit ribosomal RNA
Source: RNAcentral
UAUCGUUCUAAGUGAGUGACGUCACACUGCCAAGAAAAGCUUCUAGUUAGAAUCAGACCGCCCGUACCGCAAACCGACACAGGUAGUCGGGUCGAGAAGACCAAGGUGAGCGAGAGAACUCUCGUUAAGGAACUCGGCAAAAUGACCCCGUAACUUCGGGAGAAGGGGUGCUGAUCGCAAGAUCAGCCGCAGUGAAUAGGCCCAGGCGACUGUUUAUCAAAAACACAGGUUUCUGCAAAAUCGUAAGAUGAAGUAUAGGGGCUGACGCCUGCCCGGUGCUGGAAGGUUAAGAGGAUGGGUUAGCGCAAGCGAAGCUCAGAAUUGAAGCCCCAGUAAGCGGCGGCCGUAACGAUAACGGUCCUAAGGUAGCGAAAUUCCUUGUCGGGUAAGUUCCGACCCGCACGAAAGGCGUAACGAUCUGGGCACUGUCUCAACGAGAGACUCGGUGAAAUUAUAAUACCCGUGAAGAUGCGGGUUACCCGCGACAGGACGGAAAGACCCCAUGGAGCUUUACUGUAGCUUGAUAUUGGGUGCUUGUACAACUUGUACAGGAUAGGUAGGAGCCGUAGAAGUCGGGACGCUAGUUUCGACGGAGGCAUCGGUGGGAUACUACCCUCGUUGUAUGAACACUCUAACCCACGCCGGCAAUCACGGCGGGAGACAGUGUCAGGUGGGCAGUUUGACUGGGGCGGUCGCCUCCUAAAAGGUAACGGAGGCGCCCAAAGGUUCCCUCAGAAUGGUUGGAAAUCAUUCGCAGAGUGUAAAGGCAUAAGGGAGCUUGACUGCGAGACCUACAAGUCGAGCAGGGACGAAAGUCGGGCUUAGUGAUCCGGUGGUUCCGCAUGGAAGGGCCAUCGCUCAACGGAUAAAAGCUACCCUGGGGAUAACAGGCUUAUCUCCCCCAAGAGUCCACAUCGACGGGGAGGUUUGGCACCUCGAUGUCGGCUCAUCGCAUCCUGGGGCUGUAGUCGGUCCCAAGGGUUGGGCUGUUCGCCCAUUAAAGCGGUACGCGAGCUGGGUUCAGAACGUCGUGAGACAGUUCGGUCCCUAUCCGUCGUGGGCGCAGGAAAUUUGAGAGGAUCUGUCCUUAGUACGAGAGGACCGGGAUGGACAUACCUCUGGUGUACCAGUUGUUCUGCCAAGGGCAUCGCUGGGUAGCUAUGUAUGGAUGAGAUAAACGCUGAAAGCAUCUAAGUGCGAAACUCACCUCGAGAUAAGAUUUCCCACUCCUUUAUGGAGUUAAGACCCCUGAGAGAUGAUCAGGUAGAUAGGAUGGAAGUAGAAGUGCGGCGACGCAUGGAGCGGACCAUUACUAAUCGGUCGAGGACUUAAUC